GAUCAUGGCUCAGGACGAACGCUGGCGGCGUGUCUAACACAUGCAAGUCGAGCGGGAAGCUCGACACGGAGGCUUCGGCCGAAGUGUCGAGUGGAGAGCGGCGGACGGGUGAGUAACGCGUGAGUAACCUGCCUACCAGAGGGGGAUAACACAUAGAAAUGUGUGCUAAUACCGCAUGAAACCAUAGUAUCGCAUGGUAUAAUGGUCAAAGAUUUAUCGCUGGUAGAUGU
Molecule: ribosomal RNA, 230 nt
Filed under: uncultured bacterium
Lineage: Bacteria
Description: partial 16S ribosomal RNA
Rfam family: Bacterial small subunit ribosomal RNA
Source: RNAcentral